RNAcentral lists this long non-coding RNA (2945 nucleotides) under Paramuricea clavata. Lineage: Eukaryota; Metazoa; Cnidaria; Anthozoa; Malacalcyonacea; Plexauridae. The record is from RNAcentral.
AGGUGUUUUGUUCCAAGGGAACUUGGAUCAGUGAUCAGUCAUCAAAGUUGAACCGGGUGAUAUGACAAGAAAAGAAAGAUUAUUUUCUACAAAACAGAAUCAUUUACAGUUGCUGUCUUGAAUUGUGUAAAGAAGGUUUGUUUAUAAAAAUUUUUCAGGCAAUGUGGCAUGAAAAUUAUAAAUUCUGAAUAAUAUGUUUUUUCCCUUGGGGAAUUAAUCCAAUCUAAGCCAAUAACUAAUAAGUGCGGAAGCCCUGUGUCAGUGAACAUUUUUUAUCAGUCAAAAGUAAUUGUUUUGAUGAGAGAAAUGAUUGUAGACAAUGUUCAGAAUUAAAAAAUAUCCUGUGGUCUCCUUUUGCUGAGCAUGGGUUGCUACUUGUCUGUGAUUGCCCCUUUGCAAAACGAUUUACAGUCAAACCGGAUGUUCUGUUCCCCUGAAUAUUGCAAUAUUGUUGGAAAUAUUGCAAUUUUGAUUGCGAGAUUGCUCUGAGCAAGUUGCAACCAACGUGAUCAAAUUGCUGGUUGAAAUUCACAACUAGCUACUUGAAAUUCACAUAAACAAAGUCUCUGCUACAGUGGUAGCAAAGAAGAACCAAUCCAUUUACUCAGAGAGUCAGAGUAUAUGAUUGGCUCUUCUCUGCUACUAGCAGCCAAGGCCAAAUAAAAAAAAUUGCUGGUUUCAGGUUUCACAGCCAUGUUUUAUAUGGGUAGGUAGGUCGGAAAAACAUUUUAUUUAAAAAAAUAUUUUAUAUCAAGUAUGCAAUAACAGGAUAACCCGUGAGCUACAUGUUUUUCGCGAGAAAUAAACACAUCAAGGCGUUUUCGCCUUUUUUCAGCAGUAGCUGCCAUUUCAGAUACGUUUUUAAUAUUUUAUUCAACUGUUCUUUGUGUAAAACUAUGAUUAACAUGACUGUAUGAUUAAAUUAUAAGCAAACAAAAUAAUUUGUAGAUAAACAAGUCUAAUGACUAUUUAUAUAUUUGGCUAUUUAAGAUCUCUACUGGGAAAAGUCAAUAAAAUGUUUAUGGUCGGUCAUAUUUUUGACAGGUCGGGCGGAAACCUGAAACCAACUAUUAUUUUUAUUUGGCCCAAUCAUAGACUUUGUUUACAAAUCUGGUUGUGAAUUUCAACUUGCAAUUUGAUCAUGUCUGUUGCAACUUGCUCAGAGCAAUCUCGCAAUCAAAAUUGCAAUAUUUCCAACAAUAUGGCAAUAUUCAGGGGAACAGAACAUCCGGUUUGACUGUAAAACAUGUUUUUAUCAGUUGAAAGUGAUUGUUUUGAUGAGAAAAUGUGUCUCAGUGUCAAAGAUUAAAAGAUUUUCAUAACUGGGUAAAAGACAGCAAAAAAGUAAGGCUAUAGCUUUUACUUUUCGUUCAUUUUGAUGACAUUUUCGUAAAGAAGUAAAAAACGGCAAAAAAGGCUACAGCCUAUACUUUUCAUCGAUUUUGACGACUUUUUCAUUUUUCAUAAAGGGGCAAAAAACAGCAAAAAAAGUAAGGCUAUAGCCUUUACUUUUUGUCCAUUUUGACAACUUUUUUUCAUUAAGGCCUGUGAAUCUGUGUCAGUGAACAUGUUUUUAUCCGUCGAAAGUAAUUGUUUUGAUGAGAGAAAUGUUUAUCGACAAUGUUCAGAACGUUUGGAAUAAUAGUUUGGGGCUUUUUUAAUUUUACGCUAUAGCCUUUACUCCCUUUAGCCCUUUACUUUUCAUCCAUUUUGACAACUUUUUCAUUAAUUAAGGCCUGUGAAUCCCCCUUUGCAUUUUUUGACUCAAAGUUUGGAAUGGCUUGGGGGCAAUUUUUGAAAAAUUUCGAGUGAUCCCCCCAUUCCUUUGUUGAAUACCACGGUUGCCUGUGUGCAUUUGACCCAAUUAAAUUUUUCAAAACAUGUUUUUAUGAGUCGAAAGUGAUCGUUUUGAUGAGAGAAAUGUUUCGCAACAAUUUUCAGAAAGUUUGGACCUCUAUGAAUUUUAAAAAAAAAAUCCUAUGAUCACCUAGCCUGCGAACAGGCUCUCAAGCUGAAUUGAGAGCCUGCAUCGAUGACUAAUUAAUUUGAAUAUCUGCCCCGUAACGUUAGUUUUUCCAAAUAUGGAAUGUCUAUCCUUAUAUGGUGUUGUUUACGAUCCUAUGAUCCCCCUUUGCAUUUGACCCAAAGUUUUUGAAACAUGUUUUUAUGAUCGUUUUGAUGAGAGAAAUAAAGUUUUGUGAGAUGGGGGAUCCUGUUGUACUCCCAUUUUUAAAAACAAAAAUAUGAAUUUUUCUGUUGCAUCCUUCGUCUGCUAUCAGUUAGAUAAGAUAUGUUGUCAGUUGAUAUGUGCAAAUAACUAGAUUAAUAUCUUUCAUUGUUUAGGUAUUUUGUUCCAAGAGAAUUUAGAUCAGUGAUCAGUCCUCAAAGUUGAACCGGAUUACAUGACAGGAAAAGAAAGAUUAUUUUAUACCAAACAGAAUCAUUUACAGUCGCUGUCUUGAAUCAUUUCAAUAAGGUUAGUUUAUAAAACGUCUUCCAGGCAAUGUGGCAUGAAAAUUAUAAAUUCUGAAUAAUAUGUUUUAUCCCUUGGGGGAAUUAAUCCAAUCUAAGCCAAUAAGUGCUGAAGCCCUGUGUCCGUUAAUAUGUUUUUAUCAGUCAAAAGUAAUUGUUUUGAUGAGAGAAAUAAAUGGUUAUCGACAAUUUUCAGAAAGUUUGGAAUAAUAGUUCUGGGCCUUUUUUAUUUAAAAAAUUCCUGUGCUCUCCCUUUGUUGAGCACGGAUUGCCACUUGCCUGCGGUUGCCCGCUUUGCAAAAUGUUUUAAAACGUGUUUUUAUCAGUUGAAAGUGAUUGUUUUGAUGAGAAAAUGUGUCUCAUUGUUUACUUUUUGUGCAUUUUGACGUAAAGCGACAAAAAAACAACAAAAAGGCAAGGCUAUUUUGAUUGACGACUUUUAAUUUUUCAUCGCUAGCUUUUGAAAAGAAAAA